AGUGAACGCUGGCGGCAGGCCUAAUACAUGCAAGUCGAACGGCAGCACAGCAGAGCUUGCUCUGUGGGUGGCGAGUGGCGGACGGGUGAGGAAUACAUGGGAAUCUGCCCAGUCGUGGGGGAUAACGUAUGGAAACGUACGCUAAUACCGCAUGCGCCCUACGGGGGAAAGCCGGGGACCGCAAGGCCUGGCGCGAUUGGAUGAGCCCAUGUUCGAUUAGCUAGUUGGCGGGGUAAAGCCCACCAAGGCGACGAUCGAUAGCUGGUCUGAGAGGAUGAUCAGCCACACUGGAACUGAGACACGGUCCAAGCUCCUAGGGAGCAGCAGUAGGGAAUAUUGGACAAUGGGGCAACCCUGAUCCAGCCAU
Molecule: ribosomal RNA, 367 nt
Filed under: uncultured bacterium
Lineage: Bacteria
Description: bacterial SSU rRNA
Rfam family: Bacterial small subunit ribosomal RNA
Source: RNAcentral